CGAGGUUUAAUUGACAUAAAAAGACAAGUUAUAAAUACAACGAGCAUGGAAUAAAUAGAUAUAUCAUAUCAUUUACUCCAAGUUUAAUAAAACUAUGUACUUAAUAUAAUUUAAAUUAAUAGACAUGUCAAUAAUCUAGGGUCUCCAAGUACAUGUCAAUCCAAGACAAAAGUAAUCACGAUAGCAUAAGAUUAUUUAUUACGUACUAAAUAAAAUAUUAGGGCAAUUAUAAACAUCUAUCAAAUAAGGCACAUGCUCUGUUGUAUUCAUAUUCCACAACAUUGUUGGAGGCUUUGGAUCCAAACCUUAUUGCGUAAUUGAGCUUAUGAUUUCUGGGCUUACCAAAACCACUCCUAUUCUAGAGCCUACAUCUCAACACAAGCCAUCGACGUAGAGGCUCCAAAUCUGAGGUUCAAUUGGUUUCAUCGUUGCCUCUAUCUCGAGGAUGAUGUUGGUAAAUUCCCAACAAAGUCUAUAAGGGCUUUGACUCUUAAUGGAGGUUCUUGAUUUGAAGAUUAUAUCAAAUUCACUUAGCUCUAUAAUCCACUUCAUCAACCUACCAUAAGCAUCUGUCUUGUGAAACACCUAUUUAAGAAGAAAGUUUAUUAGCACAUGAAUGCUAUGGGCUUAAAUAUGGCCUCAACUUUCUAGAAGUGAUGACGAGGGAUAGAAUGAGCUUCUCAAUAUCUGGGUAGUAGACAUCCGCUUGUACGAUGGAUUUACUUACAUAGUAUAAAGGUAGUUGGUGAUUGCAUUAUUCUCUUGUAAGAACGGUGCUAAUGGCCUCUUUAGAUAUGGCCAAAUAUAGUAGCAGGAGCUCAUUAGUAUUGGGUUUAGAGAGGAGAAAGGCCUAGACUCAAUGCUUCUUUGGUUGACCAUGUAGUUGAGGAACAUUCUAGAGGUGAUGCCAAAGGUGCACUUAAGGGGAUUUAACAUCAUUCGUACCUCUUUCAAAUUUGGAAAAUAGCAUCUAUGAGCUUGAUGUGGUCUAUGGUCUUAAGGAUCUGGAUGAGCAUGUCGUUCACAUAUAACUCCAUUGUUUUGCAAAUGAAGUCUGUAAACAUCCUAUUCACGAGCCUUUAAUAGAUGUCUUCAAUAUUUUUUAACCCCAAAUGGCAUCACCUUAUAAUAAUAAAGGCCCCUAUCAGUGAUGAAAGAUAUGUUCUCCUCAUCUUUGAAAUGUAUGGAAAUCUAAUUGUAGUCUAUAUUGGCAUUCAUGGAGCUCAAGAACAGUAGCACCCACAAGUGAGUCUAUCUAGAAAAGAGGGAAGCUAUCCUUUGGGCAAACUUCAUUAAGGUUGGAUAAGUCUAUGCAAACUCUCUACUUGGCAUUAUGCUUUUUCAUCCUAAGCCAGGAUCGAAUCCUCCAUGAGAUCCAUAGUUGCAUUACUUAUAGCUUCCUUGUUCGUAGACAAAAUGGAUUCGGAAUUGUCUUUCACUCUAUGGCAUAACUUGUAUUUAUGCACUUUAUAUUUGCAAGGAUUUCGCUCCAAAAAAUAUAGCCAUCCCUACGCUCUCCUAUGGAAAGUCCCACGAGGACAUCCACCUCUAGUAUACCCUAUGAGCUAUCAUUUCACUUUAGUUUUAACGUGGUGUUAUAAUACCGAUGCCAUGUUGCUCUAAUCAGCGUGGUUUUUUUUUUCUUGUAACUAAACAUUUCUCAGUGAGUGUUCCAUGGGUAUAGGUCACGAGCAAUGGAGUUAGAUUGGUGAACUUUUUUCCUCCAGCUCAUAUUGAGUUAUAAAAAGAGUUAUCCAGCCCCGCCAUUCAGCAUGAAUGGGGUAAGGGUCAUCCUUUCCUAGUGAAUCAAGGGCCCUUUGGACAUGAUCGGACUGGAGAUCCACCCCGAAUAUAGAUUUCCAUGAUGAAGCCAUUCGUUAUUUAUAUUUCGACAUCCCCUUUAGGCUUCAUACUUCCCUGGGUUUAUGGCUCUCCACUUUUGCUUAUUUCGAGUUAAUUUAGGAUCAAUGUUGAGGUGGUGAUAGCUCACUUUUGGGUCAAUACCAACUAAAUUUUCGUGUUUCCAAGUGAAGAUGUCCAAAUUCUUGUAGUGGCUUGAUGAAAUCUUGGAAAUCUAAUUCUUUUACUAAAGCAAUUAGUGAUCCGGGGCUUAGUGAUGUGAGGGUCAUUAAUGCAUAAUCUGACCUUUCUUAAAAAUAAAUUUGUUUUAACUAUUUUAUCGGUUUGUUCAUGAGGGUUGUCGAGAAUUAAAAAUGAUACGAUCUCGUCCAUUAAAGACCUUUUGUAGGAUCAUUUUAAAUUUCUUUGCAAGGAGUGGCUUGUUUGUGUAAUUAUUUCUUCCAUGACGUUUGGUCUAUCCAUGAAAAGAAUUCCCCUCGUAGGUUUCAAGAUUGGCCCAUAAGAGUGCUUCAUACCUUUCCUUUCGAGGCGGCGUUAUUCUUUGCAAGAGGGUGUCUCUUUUGAAUAAAGACUUCUUCCAUGAUAUUUCAUCCAUCCAUGGAAGGGGUUCAAGUAAGAAUGCGAUGUAGAUCCAGAAUAUAUCUUCAUUGAUAAACUAAUUACCUAAGUUGAAAAGGUCAUCCAAACAAGAUAAGUAGGCCAUGCCUACCGAUUAUACAUUCUCAAAUGUUCGACUUUCC
Molecule: long non-coding RNA, 2600 nt
Filed under: Olea europaea subsp. europaea
Lineage: Eukaryota; Viridiplantae; Streptophyta; Magnoliopsida; Lamiales; Oleaceae
Source: RNAcentral